GGCGAGAUGGCGCAGCGGAAGCGUGGCUCAUAACCCUCAUAACCCCGAGGUCCCAGGAUCGAAACCUGGUCUCGAUA
This 77-nucleotide transfer RNA is filed under the name Pleodorina starrii. RNAcentral's name for it is "tRNA-iMet". The record is from RNAcentral. Lineage: Eukaryota; Viridiplantae; Chlorophyta; Chlorophyceae; Chlamydomonadales; Volvocaceae.